UAGGGAAUAUUGGGCAAUGGACGCAAGUCUGACCCAGCCAUCCCGCGUGAAGGAUGAAGGAUCUAUGGUUCGUAAACUUCUUUUAUUGGGGAAGAAAAAGUCUGAUUCAUCAGAAACUGACGGUACCCAAUGAAUAAGCACCGGCUAACUCCGUGCCAGCAGCCGCGGUAAUACGGAGGGUGCAAGCGUUAUCCGGAUUCACUGGGUUUAAAGGGUGCGUAGGCGGCUUGAUAAGUCAUUGGUGAAAGCUCGCAGCUUAACUGCGAAACUGCCAUUGAAACUGUCAAGCUUGAAUGUGGUUGAAGUGGGCGGAAUACAACAUGUAGCGGUGAAAUGCUUAGAUAUGUUUUAGAACACCGAUUGCGAAGGCAGCUCACUAAGCCAAUAUUGACGCUGAGGCACGAAAGCGUGGGUAGCGAACAGGAUUAGAUACCCCCGUAGUCC
RNAcentral lists this ribosomal RNA (444 nucleotides) under uncultured bacterium. RNAcentral's name for it is "bacterial SSU rRNA". It matches the Rfam family "Bacterial small subunit ribosomal RNA", at positions 355 to 796 of the family's 1533-position model. The record is from RNAcentral.